Long non-coding RNA from Triticum aestivum (bread wheat), 5639 nucleotides. RefSeq lists it as uncharacterized. The record is from RefSeq and is a predicted model, not a curated record. NCBI's taxonomy places the organism in Eukaryota, Viridiplantae, Streptophyta, Magnoliopsida, Poales, Poaceae. The transcript is spliced from 6 exons.
UUUCCUCUUCAGAUUCCCCAAUUUAUGCGUUCUCCUCUUCUCCUUCCAUCUCUCCCUGCCAACGUUUCAAUCUCCCGAUCUCCCCAUCACCACAAACACACAUGGAACGGAUGGCGGCAUGCAUCCAUCUUCAUCACCCAUCGAGGGAUUUUAUUGCCCAUCUCCUUCUGGUGAUGGGAAGAAGGGCGGCUGCAUCUUCUUCUUCCCUAGCGCCGGCUACCUCAGCAAACACCACGGAUGGCAUCUCCACCACUUCCCCGACGGUGAGGCACCUGCCGUGGAGGUGGACUUGCAGGCGCUCCUCCACGCCAACGACGGCGAUCUGUCCCGCUCCCACCUCAACCACGUGAGGCGUCAUCGGCAUCCGGCCGUAAGGCGAAGACGACCCGUCGCCGUUCGUAAGAAAAAGGCCAUGGUACCAGGGACGCUCCUACUUUCUCUCCUUCCUUCCUCCUACUUACGAUUGUUCAAUAAGAAAUUACUUAAUUGACUACAAGCUAGGUUAUACGUUAUCAGUAAAUAACCCUGUUUCGUUUUGUAGUUGAGAACCACAUGGUCACCACUCGAGGCAUUCAACUCUCGGCAGCACCCGUAUACCACUCCAACUGGUAUCGUUUCAACGGGUUCCUGUUCUUCUAAAUCAAAGAUAAUAAGGCCAGCCAGACAUAAGAAAGUUUCUACAAGGAGAUGUGUGCGGUAUGGAUGGCUAGGUGGUCGUAAGGAUGGUCUUGGUAAACAAUUGUCUGAUGAUCUUGAAUCUUUGUUUUCUCAUGUCAACAAGGUAGAUGAUGAAUAUUCAAAAUGGCUGUGAGGUAAAGGAGAAGACACAUGUAGCCGUGUCAUGAUAACAGUUGCUGAAUGCAACUCAAGACUGUACGAAACCAGAAAGAAAGACAGGGUAGGCAACAUUCAAGGAGCAAACUGACUAACGUUCAAAUAAUCUGUUGGCGAGAUCCUUAUGUAGAUAUAUCGUAACGAGAAGGAGAGAUGACUCAAUAUAAUAUUUCAUCUUCAUCAACAGUACAAGGCAAGUUACAUCUUGAUCAUGCCCUUUUAUACCUAUGUUUUAUAUAUGCAUUUAGUCCUUUGAUGUAAGGUUUGCAUGAAUAUGUUAAUUGGCUAUAUUAUAAACCAGUAGUGCAAUGAGGUAGGUCUGAGCCUUUACUUCUUUGUCACCAACAUUGUGUGGAUUUUGCUAUGCCAUUGUAGACGGGGAUUGGUAUGUGAGAUCAUGAAAGUUGCGAGUGAUAUAAUAAUUAAGGGUAACCUUAAGGUGGCAACAUUAACACACAUCUGGGUGGAUUGGUAAGGGGCACCCUGGAGAAACCAGUGGACUUGCCCAGGGGAUCCCGGAGUACCCGUGUGAUCACCCUAUGGACUGCCACCCAGGCUCAAAGGGAUUCAUCAAUUUUUCAUGGCUAGAAGCUUACCUGCACAGCCACAAGCUAUUAUGGGCCCUGGCUUAGUUGAGUACGUUGUGUGACCUCUUACCGUGAUGGCAUGGAGUGGCCGCCGGAGUUGUCGAACUCUGACGAGUAAUUGCUCUCAGAGAAGGAUGAGGAAGAGAGGGGUUUUCUCGGGAGGGGUGAGGACUGUGAGGAGAACCUAUGGGCACUACUUAUAGGUGAGGGGGAGGUCAGAAUUCGAGCAGAUGGAGAUGAAAUGCAUGGACGUUUUGGGUGUCCCUUAAUGGCCACUACGGUCGCCUUUAAGGCGCACUGAGAAGAGGAGGGGGUCGAGGAAGAUGAGGGGAACCGGUUCUGUCCGUUUGUGGGUUGGGGGAGGGAGAGAAGGGGAGGAAGAGGUGGAGGCGCCAUGGAUGUAGCCUCUGUUCGUGUUCAUGUGAAUAUGAACGAGGAGGAAGAAGAAGCCUGCACGUAUGGGCCUAAGUGAAGUCAAGGCCCAAGAGAAAAAAUGAAAGAGAAAAAAAACAUAGAUGGGCUUGGCUGGUUGUGUAUGUUGUACUUGCUGGGUUAUGUGCGUGCACAGUGCUCCGAAAAAAAUGUGCUUAGCCCUAAAAGACUUGGAAUUAGAUUUCAUAAAUUAAUAAUUAGGUGACAAAAAACUUUAACUAACGAAACCAACAAAAAUGUGUACAAUUACAUAUUUAUUAUUUAGAGUCUAGGAAAAAAAAUAGUUUCAUAAUUUCGUAAAAAUUAAUUUGUGUGUAACUUAUUAAUGCAUUAUAGACUUAAUUGAAUUACUCAAAAUUCAAUUCAGAGUUUUUGAAAAUCCACAAACUGUUAAUUGUCAAUUACUAAAUAUUUCCGAAUAUUUCUUGGAGAAGUCAAAUUAUCUCCUCUCAUUAAUUUAUUUUAAUUAUUUGGAAAUAUAUAAAUGGCAUUAAAACUCCAAAUAAGAUCCAAUUUCAAAUGGAACUCCAAAUGGGAUACUCACCCACCACAUUUGAGGAAGUGAUGUUAUUCUCACUUCAAAAUUGUGAUUGUGGUUUCCAAUAUUUCAAAAAGAGUCAAACAGAAAUUAAAGCCCUUUGAUUUCUUGAAUAAAAUUCCCCAACCAUAGUUUUCUUUAUUGGACAAAAUGUUACCCAACUUUUAUAACAUGAUUAGAAAAAGUUUUAAACAACAACUCAAAAGGUUUUAAUUCUCAUGAAAAAAUAAAAUAAUUUCACACAAUCGAUCACACAACAAUCAAACAAACAUUCAUAUUUAUUUAUUUAAUAUAACAUUCCAAAAUAUUGAAUUUUGGGAGGCCGAGCCCGGGACAUUGCCCAAUGGACUUCCCUCGUCGACCUCUUCGCCCUCCUCAUUCUACUUGACAUUGGGGGCCUUCUUCCUCAACUCCGGCGACCUUUUUCCCCAACUCCGGCGACUAACUCUGGUGAGCACUGUGUAAAUCCCGUAUUUGUUUUACAGAAAAAUACUCAAACUUCGGAAAAUCAUAUCUCCUAAACUGUAUGCCCAAAUUCGACAAAUUUUAUUUUCCCAGAUUCCUUGGAACAUCUAGUUUAUUAUAAAAAUACGAGAUCUCAGUUUUUGGCAAGUUAAAGUUUAGUUCUGUUUUAAAUGUUAAGUUGAGUACUUUUGCUAUAUCUUCUAAUCUAUAGGACAUAUAAAAAUGUUUAUUAUAUGAAAGUUCGACCUUAGGACAUCACCUUUUUUUUGGAACUCAUGGAAUAAAUUUUCAGCAAGAUUUAGCCACUGUCUUAACAUCAACACCUUAAUUUGACCUUCUCGAUCAUUUAAUAACUUUUGACACGAAGUUAAAUCUUUUAGAUUGAUCCCUAGAAAACCUCUUUCAUCACAUGCCAUCAUCAUACAAAUUUGGACUUAGGAAAUGUUACAUAAAUUUUUGUAACAUAAACCCUAUGGCAUCAACUCCAUCUAUCAUUUUUAUUGGACCCAAGUCAAAUAUUCCAAUCAAACCCAUUAUAGACUUUGUCGUAGAACCUUGCCUCCCAACUCUUCAAGCCGUGAUCUUCACUUUGACCCAACCCUAGAAUAAAAUCCUAUAUCAUAUUUUCAUUCUUAAUCUUAUCUCAACCCGUAACCAAGUCCUAACAACUUAUGUUGGAAUGUUUUUUUUAUUUUUUUAUUUGUAUUCUAAUUUGAGUAUUUUAUUUGGACCUUUAUUUGGAUGUUGUUGUGUGUUAAAGUACUUUAUUAUAUCGUUAGAUAUAUCGUAACGAGAAGGAGAGACAACUUAAUAUAAUAUUUCAUCUUCAUCAACAGUACAAGGCAAGUUACAUCUUGAUCAUGCCCUUUUAUACCUAUGUUUUAUAUAUGCAUUUAGUCCUUUGAUGUAAGGUUUGCAUGAAUAUAUUAGUUGGCUAUAUUAUAAACCAGUAGUGCAAUGAGGUAGGUCUGAGCCUUUACUUCUUUGUCACCAACAUUGUAGGGAUUUUGCUAUGCCAUUGUUGACCGGGAUUGGUAUGUGAGAUCAUGAAAGUUGCAAGUGAUAUAAUAAUUAAGGGUAACCUUAAGGUGGCAACAUUAACACACAUCUGGGUGGAUUGGUAAGGGGCACCCUGGAGAAACCAGUGGACUUGCCUGGGCACCCUGGAGAAACCAGUGGACUUGCCCAGGGGAUCCCGGAGUACCCGUGUGAUCACCCUAUGGACUGCCACCCAGGCUCAAAGGGAUUCAUCAAUUUUUCAUGACUAGAAGCUUACCUGCACAGCCACAAGCUAUUAUGGGAUCUAUCUUAGUUGAGUACGUUGUGUGACCUCUUACCUUGAUGGCGUGGAGUGGCCGCCGGAGUUGUCGAACUCCGACGAGCAAUUGCUCAGAGAGAAGGACGAGGAAGAAAGGGGUUUUCUCGGGAGGGGGUGAGGACUGUGAGGAGAACCUAUGGGCACUACUUAUAGGUAAGGGGGAGGUCAGAAUUCGAGCAGAUGGAGAUGAAAUGCAUGGACGUUUUGGGUGUCCGUUAAUGGCCACUACGGUCGCCUUUAAGGCGCACUAAGAAGGGGAGGGGGUCGAGGAAGACGAGGGGAACCGGUUCUGACCGUUUGUGGGUUGGGGGAGGGAGAGAAGGGGAGGAAGAGCUGAAGGCGCCAUGGAUGUAUCCUCUGUUCGUGUUCCUGUGAAUAUGAACGAGGAGGAAGAAAAAGCCUGCGCGUAUGGGCCUAAGUGAAGUCAAGGCCCAAGAGAAAAAAUGAAAGAGAAAAAAAACAUAGAUGGGCUUGGCUGGUUGUGUAUGCUGUACUUGCUGGGUUAUGUGCGUGCACAGUGCUCCGAAAAAAAUGUGCUUAGCCCUAAAAGACUUGGAAUUAGAUUUCGUAAAUUAAUAAUUAGGUGACGAAAAACUUUAACUAACGAAACCAACAAAAAUGUGUACAAUUACAUAUUUAUUAUUUAGAGUCUAGGAAAAAAAUAGUUUCAUAAUUUCAUAAAAAUUAAUUUGUGUGUAACUUAUUAAUGCAUUAUAGACUUAAUUGAAUUACUCAAAAUUCAAUUCAGAGUUUUUGAAAAUCCACAAACUGUUAAUUGUCAAUUACUAAAUAUUUCCGAAUAUGUCUUGGAGAAGUCACAUUAUCUCCUCUCAUUAAUUUAUUUUAAUAAUUUGGAAAUAUAUAAAUGGCAUUAAAACUCCAAAUAAGAUCCAAUUUCAAAUGGAACUCCAAAUGGGAUACUCAUCCACCACAUUUGAGAAAGUCAUGUUAUUCUCACUCCAAAAUUGUGAUUGUGGUUUCCAAUAUUUCAAAAAGAGUCAAACAGAAAUUAAAGCUCUUUGAUUUCUUGAAUAAAAUUCCCCAACCAUAGUUUUCUUUAUUGGACAAUAUGUUACCAACUUUUAUAACAUGAUUAGAAAAAGUUUUAAACAACAACUCAAAAGGUUAUUCUCACGAAAAAAUAAAAUAAUUUCACACAAUCCAUCACACAACAAUCAAACAAACAAUCCUAUUUAUUUAUUUAAUAUAACAUUCCAAAAUAUUGAAUUUUGGGAGGCCGAGCCCGGGACAUUGCCCAAUGGACUUCCCUCGUCGACCUCUUCGUCGUCCUCAUUCUACUUGACGUUGCGGGCCUUCUUCCUCAACUCCGGCGACCUUUUUCCCCAACUCCAGCGACUAACUCCGAUAUGUCGUAACGAGAAGGAGAGACGACUCAAUAUAAUAUUUCAUCUUCAUCAACAGUACAAGGCAAGUUACAUCUUGAUCAUGCCCUUUUAUACCUAUG